Molecule: transfer RNA, 66 nt
Filed under: Cymbiola nobilis
Lineage: Eukaryota; Metazoa; Mollusca; Gastropoda; Neogastropoda; Volutidae
Description: tRNA-Thr
Source: RNAcentral
AGCAAUAAGAAAAUAAUAUUCACUUCUGAUUUACAAGACCAAUGUUCUAGGUUAAACUAUUAUUGC